ACGGGAGGCAGCAGUGGGGGAUAUUGCACAAUGGGCGAAAGCCUGAUGCAGCAAUGCCGCGUGAGGGAAGAAGGUUUUCGGAUUGUAAACCUCUGUCCCUGAUGACGAAGACAGUGACGGUAAUCAGGGAGGAAGCCACGGCUAACUACGUGCCAGCAGCCGCGGUAAUACGUAGGUGGCAAGCGUUGUCCGGAAUUACUGGGUGUAAAGGGAGCGCAGGCGGGAGAGCAAGUCAGCGGUGAAAACUAUGGGCUUAACCCAUAGACUGCCGUUGAAACUGUUUUUCUUGAGUGAAGUAGAGGCAGGCGGAAUUCCGAGUGUAGCGGUGAAAUGCGUAGAUAUUCGGAGGAACACCAGUGGCGAAGGCGGCCUGCUGGGCUUUUACUGACGCUGAGGCUCGAAAGUGUGGGGAGCAAACAGGAUUAGAUACCCUGGUA
RNAcentral lists this ribosomal RNA (437 nucleotides) under uncultured Clostridium sp. Its description in RNAcentral is "partial 16S ribosomal RNA". It matches the Rfam family "Bacterial small subunit ribosomal RNA", at positions 341 to 792 of the family's 1533-position model. The record is from RNAcentral. Lineage: Bacteria; Bacillati; Bacillota; Clostridia; Eubacteriales; Clostridiaceae.